RNAcentral lists this non-coding RNA (29 nucleotides) under Rattus norvegicus (Norway rat). Lineage: Eukaryota; Metazoa; Chordata; Mammalia; Rodentia; Muridae. The record is from RNAcentral.
UAGGCCUGACCGAGAUCGUGAAGUCCUGA